Molecule: ribosomal RNA, 240 nt
Filed under: uncultured bacterium
Lineage: Bacteria
Description: partial 16S ribosomal RNA
Rfam family: Bacterial small subunit ribosomal RNA
Source: RNAcentral
UGCGAAUAUUGCGCAAUGGGCGAAAGCCUGACGCAGCGACGCCGCGUGAGGGAUGAAGGCCUUCGGGUUGUAAACCUCUUUCAGCGCCGAAGAAGCGAAAGUGACGGUAGGCGCAGAAGAAGCACCGGCUAACUACGUGCCAGCAGCCGCGGUAAUACGUAGGGUGCGAGCGUUGUCCGGAAUUAUUGGGCGUAAAGAGCUCGUAGGCGGUUUGUCGCGUCUGCUGUGAAAACUCGGGGC